GGGUUGUGAGGUUAAGCGACUAAGCGUACACGGUGGAUGCCCUGGCAGUCAGAGGCGAUGAAGGGCGUGCUAAUCUGCGAUAAGCGCCGGUAAGGUGAUAUGAACCGUUAUAACCGGCGAUACCCGAAUGGGGAAACCCAGUGUGAUUCGUCACACUAUCAUUAACUGAAUCCAUAGGUUAAUGAGGCGAACCGGGGGAACUGAAACAUCUAAGUACCCCGAGGAAAAGAAAUCAACCGAGAUUCCCCCAGUAGCGGCGAGCGAACGGGGAGGAGCCCAGAGCCUGAAUCAGCAUGUGUGUUAGUGGAAGCGUCUGGAAAGGCGCGCGAUACAGGGUGACAGCCCCGUACACAAAAGCGCAUGUGCUGUGAGCUCGAUGAGUAGGGCGGGACACGUGGUAUCCUGUCUGAAUAUGGGGGGACCAUCCUCCAAGGCUAAAUACUCCUGACUGACCGAUAGUGAACCAGUACCGUGAGGGAAAGGCGAAAAGAACCCCGGCGAGGGGAGUGAAAAAGAACCUGAAACCGUGUACGUACAAGCAGUGGGAGCCCCACCACCAAAGCAUUCUCUGGUGUUGAAGGCCCUGCAAAGCAGCAUCGCGGUGGCGGAGCGUCGUUUGCGACGCCCAACACACAAAACAAGCGGUGAAUGCUUUGGGGUGGGGUGACUGCGUACCUUUUGUAUAAUGGGUCAGCGACUUAUAUUCUGUAGCAAGGUUAACCGAAUAGGGGAGCCGGAGGGAAACCGAGUCUUAAUUGGGCGUUAAGUUGCAGGGUAUAGACCCGAAACCCGGUGAUCUAGCCAUGGGCAGGUUGAAGGUUGGGUAACACUAACUGGAGGACCGAACCGACUAAUGUUGAAAAAUUAGCGGAUGACCUGUGGCUGGGGGUGAAAGGCCAAUCAAACCGGGAGAUAGCUGGUUCUCCCCGAAAGCUAUUUAGGUAGCGCCUCGUGAAUUCAUCUCCGGGGGUAGAGCACUGUUUCGGCUAGGGGGCCAUCCCGGCUUACCAACCCGAUGCAAACUGCGAAUACCGGAGAAUGUUAUCACGGGAGACACACGGCGGGUGCUAACGUCCGUCGUGAAGAGGGAAACAACCCAGACCGCCAGCUAAGGUCCCAAAGUCAUGGUUAAGUGGGAAACGAUGUGGGAAGGCCCAGACAGCCAGGAUGUUGGCUUAGAAGCAGCCAUCAUUUAAAGAAAGCGUAAUAGCUCACUGGUCGAGUCGGCCUGCGCGGAAGAUGUAACGGGGCUAAACCAUGCACCGAAGCUGCGGCAGCGAACGUAUCACUUAAAGCGAUUCAGCGGGUUACGAUUGACGGAGCGAAGCGACGUCAAAGCGUAUACAAAGUCGAGUCGGUUUA
RNAcentral lists this ribosomal RNA (1362 nucleotides) under Salmonella enterica subsp. enterica serovar Typhimurium. RNAcentral describes it as "partial 23S ribosomal RNA". It matches the Rfam family "Bacterial large subunit ribosomal RNA", at positions 1 to 1274 of the family's 2925-position model. The record is from RNAcentral. Lineage: Bacteria; Pseudomonadati; Pseudomonadota; Gammaproteobacteria; Enterobacterales; Enterobacteriaceae.